GGUUUCCGUAGGUGAACCUGCGGAGGGAUCAUUA
RNAcentral lists this ribosomal RNA (34 nucleotides) under Armillaria sp. 3 TG-2016. Its description in RNAcentral is "partial small subunit ribosomal RNA". Lineage: Eukaryota; Fungi; Basidiomycota; Agaricomycetes; Agaricales; Physalacriaceae. The record is from RNAcentral.